UUCGGUCAUCUUCUAGGUCUCGCACGCAUAGGUCCCAUCGGCACCACGAUUGUGGCCAGGAGCCGCAGUUUAAUCUGCAGAGUGAGUGAAGGCAAGUUCCAGAUUGGACAAAGUCAUUGGCACAUGACAGAUGCCUUGUCGAUGUGGCAGAUGAGGGAGUUAACACUGCCCAAAUAAGAGAAGUUUGCAACUUCCUCCACUUGUUUUCCAUCGAUUGUAACCGGUACUCUUGAGUUUACAUAACUGAUGUGAAUGACUUUGGUAUUUUGUCCACUAAUUCAGAGUCCAGCGCUGGCCACUUGAUUUUCUAGGGCCAUAGUGAGAUCUCAUAGGACAGUUUGUGUCGGGCUGAGAACAACGAUAACAAGGAAGAUGUUGUCAACUCUGCAAGGUAUGCUGAUGUGUAGAUGGUCGAUGGAGUGACGGGCAACGAAGUCAAUGAUGAAGAGGGAUAACAACGGCGAAAGCACGAAAGCUUGUUGUACGCCAGUUUUAAUCAUGAAAUCAGGAGAGGAGAGCUUCAAAAGGACCACCGACCUGUAAGGAGAUUCCUCUUGUCAGCCAGCCUUAAAGCGCUCUAUUUUCAGUGAGCUUGAUGCAUAGCGUCCAAAGGAAGGUCACUAUGGCACUGUGAUGCAGAGAAAUAAUACCCAUAAUUCAUCUCACAAGUACAUCAGCUGCAACUUCAUUUUCCUAGAAUACUGGAGCUGAUCUAGUUAAGAAAAUUAUCAGGCACAAAAAUGAAAACAAACGGUUAAUAUCGUACAGUGUUUAAGAUAUGAGAAGCUUUCACGGCAGCUUCACUGGGCUUUAUCGGAAAUCAUUCCUUAUCAAGAUGAGCAGUGAAGAGACAGCACUGGGGGACAGCUCACAGAGACAACAUCCUUAUCACUGAUGACCUUGACUGAAUACAAGUACCUAACUGGUUUGUCUUAGAGCUUUAAACAAUUAAACUUUUUCAUUAUAAAAUAAAAGCAAAACAACAUAUUUUAUUUUAUUCUGUGGAAGAUUUUAUUUGUCCUUACAAUGGAAGUCAACAGGGUCCAAAGUUGUU
Cyprinus carpio carpio is the source of this 1054-nucleotide long non-coding RNA. NCBI's taxonomy places the organism in Eukaryota, Metazoa, Chordata, Actinopteri, Cypriniformes, Cyprinidae. The record is from Ensembl.